UUGAUCCUGGCUCUCGAUGAACGCUGGCGGCGUGCCUAAUACAUGCAAGUCGAGCGCGGGAAGCAGAUGGAAUCCUUCGGGAGGAAGUCUGUGGAACGAGCGGCGGACGGGUGAGUAACACGUGGGUAACCUGCCUGUAAGACUGGGAUAACUCGCGGAAACGUGAGCUAAUACCGGAUGAAACUUUUCUUCACCUGAUGAGAAGAUGAAAGGCGGCUUCGGCUGCCACUUACAGAUGGACCCGCGGCGCAGUACCUAGUUGGUGAGAUAAUGGCUCACCAGGGCGACGAUGCGUAGCCGACCUGAGAGGGUGAUCGGCCACCCUGGGACUGACACACGGCCCACACUCCUACGGGAGGCAUCACUAGGGAAUCUUCCGCAAUGGACAAAAGUCUGACGGAUCAACGCCGCGUGAGUGAUGAAGGUUUUCGGAUCGUAAAACUCUGUUGUUAGGGAAGAACAAGUACCGUUCGAAUAGGGCGGUACCUUGACGGUACUUAACCAGAAAGCCCCGGCUAACUACGUGCCAUCAGCCGCGGUAAUACGUAGGGGGCAAGCGUUGUCCGGAAUUAUUGGGCGUAMAGCGCUWSCAKGCGGYCUUUUAMGUCUGAUGUGAAASCCCACGGCUCAWSCGUGGAGGGUCAUWGUAWACUGAAGGAGSUUGAGUACAGAAGAGGASAGUKGAAUUYCAYGKGUAGSGGUGAASUGYGUMGAUAUGUGUAGAACGASUUCAGCUGGCGAAGGCGACUSCUCUCUGGUCUGYARCUGACGAUGAGRARCGMUAGCGUGUCGCCGAUGCGARUUCMGGAYUASAUAUCCAUGGYAKUWCACCGCCGUAMACGWGUGAWUGYUAKGUGCUCWWGKGGUWYCCRCCCSUUCAGCUGAUGAAGUSAMCGCAUCUAMGCWCKACCACCUGGGSWKUAMGGCMUCACASUGCUGAARCUGCMARMGARUAGACKGKRCGCCCRCACAAUGCGCUGGAGCAUGCGGUCUAAUUUGAAGCAACGCGAAGAACCUUACCAGGUCUAGACAUCGUCUGCCAGCGGUAGAGAUUCAGUGUUCCCUUCGGGGACAGAGUGACAGGUUGUUCAUGGUCGUCGUCAGCUUGUGUUCUGAGAUCUUUGGUUAAGUACGGUAACGAGCUCAAUCAUAGAUUUUUGCUGCCAGCAUGUUUUCGGGCAGUUUAAUGUGAUAGGCGUUGGCAAACCGUAUGAAUGUGGGGAUGACGUCUAAUCAUCUUGCCCCGUAUGAGCUUGGUUACACACGUGAUACAAUGUAUGGAACAAAGGGAAGUGAACCGGGGAGGUCAAGCCAAUCCCCUAAAGCCAUUGUCAGUUAUGAUUUCAGGAUGCAAUUAGCAUGCUCGUAGCCGGAAUCGUUAGUAAUCGGGGAUC
Molecule: ribosomal RNA, 1394 nt
Filed under: uncultured Virgibacillus sp.
Lineage: Bacteria; Bacillati; Bacillota; Bacilli; Caryophanales; Bacillaceae
Description: partial 16S ribosomal RNA
Rfam family: Bacterial small subunit ribosomal RNA
Source: RNAcentral